AAAAGCGAAGAGGAAAAAAAUAAAUACCAGCAAAUCCUUGCAUAAUCAUUAUUGCCACAGAAAUAGGAAAUAUUGUUACCUCACUAGCCUUACACUGCAGGGACAGGUAGGAUUUGUUUUCUUUGUGUUGUCCACGACGGCCCGCCAUUCAUCCAAGCAAGCUCUUAUAUAAAUGUCAGUUCAGUUUAAUCAAGAUUCAGUGCCUGAAUACAUCCCGACAAAGGCAGGACGGCCGGCACAGAUGCUGGUGCGAGCCGUGCACCUGACGUCACCAGACUUUCAGGCAAAAAUGCAUCGGCUCAUGAAGACAGAGAAGUAUGUAAAUGAUAAAUCAAUGAGCGCACGCAACUCUCCUCACGACGGACAGAGCGUGGGCUGAGAUUCUGCCGGCUGCGUCUGAUAGAUAGUGGCUGUACUUCUCAUGCUUUUUCUCAAUUGCAAAAAAUCUGAUGUGAAGUGCAGUUCCGGAGUAUUUGAAAUGGCGGCGAAGGAGGACACACAAAACGGAUAAACAAUUAAAACUAGCAGGCCCUGAGUAGCAGUAACAUCAAGCAUCACCAAGGAUCACAGAGAAGAGCAUACAGUCUACACAUUCAACUGCUUUCAUAUCCCUUUAUUGGAUUUUGUAACGAAAAACAAGCUUAUUAUUUUCUUUGAAAAUGAUCAUAACUGCGCAAGAAGUGUUAAAUGCCUUAAAAGUUUCAGCGAUGUUGAUUGAAAAGCUAAAUAGCUACUUCUGUGCUUACUGCAUCGGAAAUCGUCAUUAGAACUACCAUUUGUAUUUAUUGUACAACAGGAACAAAAAUGUCUGACAGCCUCCCGAUUCCGCUUGAGCUGGUGCUGCUCAGUUAGGCCUGUAGAUAUAAUAUUAUGACGGCCACGAAGUCAGAAUCACUUGGCAUCUUCUAGUCUUGUCUGUGAGUUAAAGCCUUGAGGAAAAUCUCGAGAACAUUAGCUUCAUGAUUGCUGGAAGUGACUACCUUCGCUAGUCUCCUCUCCAUGUCUGAAAACGUGAGCGCGUCUCGCCACAUCUUUGAGAGAUCAACACAAGAAAACACCUUGAAUUUUACCAUGCCCAAAGUCGUGACAUCCAGUGAGGAUGAAGAAAGUGGUGGAUGGACCCUUGAUCGUACGCCUUGGAUUCCAGCUCUGGUCAUGGCUGUGGCCAUGUUGAUCUUUCUGUCCUUGUCUUUUUACAAUCACCACAAGCGCGUGCGACGAAAAAAAGAAAUAAUCAUGGAUUACCUGACGACCUUGCUGUAUAGCGACGUGUGGUCUCGUGGCAGGUCGGUCAGUAUUCUUUGUCACACCAACAGCAUUUCUUUCGACGAACUGGGACGAUCUUUUAAGAUUAAGAGCAAAGAAGAAAAAGAGCCUCAAGAUAUCAUGAGGGAAAGAUAUAUCAAAGACUUAGUAGCCACCAUAACCAGGAAUACAAAAAGCAGCUUGAAAAGAAUCGUCUCCGCGCCCAGUGAAUACAGGUUCAACCGAAUCAGUGGGCCCAUCACCGCAGACAAGAAAGCUUUCAGCAUGAGCUUGAUGGACCACCAGGUGAGCCUGGACGCAGGCCAGUUUGUCCCUUCUGACUUUCGAAGCGUGACAAGGGGUCACCCGAAUUUAAAGGAAGCGUAUCCAAUGGAAUCCUUCUGAAUCCAAAGGCAAGAUUUUAUAACCCAAAAUACUCGCCGUCUUUUCAUGAUAUUUCCAGCGGUGAUGAUCUAGACAAUUUGGAAGCAAGAGGAGAAACUACAAACCAGCCUUGGCAGCCAAAGGGUAGUAAUUGUAGAAGAACAAUGGAUGACACCAUCUUGCACGAGGAAAGAUAUGCCGACAAACCACCAAGUCGUGUUUCGGCUGUUGAGACUCAGCGUGUACGUAAGUCUGGAUCUUUACACGAAAGUCACAGGAGUGUAGAAUCAUGUUACGGAAAACUGUUGCGAGCGAAAGCAUCUCGCACAAACUCGCUAUACGAGAUUUCUUCGGACGACCCCAAGUCAUUCUGCACUUCGAUGUGUCCACAAGAUGUGUCUGGAGUUCACACGACGGUAUUCUCUUUGGCAGACUGUCAUUCUAAUGCUCUGCAUCUGGACUCUUCUGGUGAAGUAAGAGAAACCUACUCAAGAAACACAAACUCACUGCCAUUUGCCAACUACAGACAAAUACAGACUCUGACAAACGUAAAAUCUUCCUUAGCAGGAGAAGGGAAGGACAAGGAUGGACGCACUCUGGUUGCACUCAGUCUUUCACCUACGGAGGCAAGCAUCGACCGAAGUCAAGGAGUCCCCUCUGUGUUAUUGACAACGACCAAAAUACCAAAGUUUCAUUCUGGGUGCAUACAGAUCAUGUCAGUUCUAACAGUUGUGAAGACGUUUCUGACGUGUCCGAAGAACUCUACACGUCAUUUCCGUCACACAGUUCCGGAAGCAUCGAGAGCAGCUCUGAUGAGACUCGUCUUGCAGCUUCGCGUUCUGACGACAGACUCGACAAACUAGUCUACAAUCAUCAGCGAAACCCCAUUGACCUAAACGUGAUGCGGCAUUCUUCCAAAACUGACUAUAACCCAAUGUUGCCUGCAGAGAUCCAAGCCGUGCCUUCUUCCUCUUCUCUUCAGGUCUUCUUGCCUGUGGUUCUCAGUGGACAACCGCCUGUCUCCACUCCUGUCGGUGCCCGCCUCCAUGUUGCUAAAUACCUGAAAACUUGUUCAGGGCUCGCCAGAAGCGUUCAGGCAUGCAGAAAGGAUGAUGCAAGAAGUUCCGGGCAGGAUAGCAAGGACAAUAACCCUAAACUCCGAAGUAUUCUUAAAAAGACUCUUUCCACGCAGUCCACAACCGCACUGCUUCUUGAUGGUAACAUGGCGACCUCGGAAUGGCGUAGCCAUGACUAUGGACCAGAAGGUGACGAGUGUGUUGGUGCACGGGACGGGGUGGACAGCAUGACACAACAGCGGACUGGGACGAAAGACAUUCUACCGAAAGACGGGGAGCUGAGCAGUCAGCGAUUGCAAAUUCACUUCCAAGGAGAUCGGGGCGGAAAGGUGUCCGGGAGAUGAGUUUUCCCGAAACAUCCACGAAUCUCUGGGACAUGUCGGGUUCCACGGGUAGUCUGGGACCCGCGAGCACGAGGUCGUGGAGUGGAGAAGGAUCUCUCACAGACGGACUCGCGACAACCUUGUCACUGGAGGCACUGCCCACGCAGGACAGUUCGCGCUUCUGCUCCAACUUGCACAGGCUGCCUCGCUUCCAGGUCCGCUCCAGCAUGCAACAGCGUCUGAAGCUGUCCAGCAGUAACGAACAUAUCCAAGAACUCAGGAGGAGAGAUCAAGACGAGCGGCACAGCCUUCAGGACACCAGACCCUUUUAUAUCAGCGAGCAGAACGUCACAACAAUUUAAUACAAUCUGCUCUGACCGGGCACGUCACGCCAAUAGCAGAGCGCGUAACAUCGAAAACAUGCGACUGCGGUAGACGCAUGACGUCACACCAAUCCGACGAUACAGCAGAGGCAGAGGAUGUGACAGCACAUAGGCUAACAGCUGUCAGCACGUCAUUUUGACUGCGCUUGCGCAGAAAGGGACAUACCUCUGUAUUCUCUGUGGUCUCGUAAUCGCACAUACAUGUACAGGGUGUACACACAAAUUGUGCACACAUUAUUAUGCCAAAAUGUGUUAUUCCAUAAAAGUUAUAUCGCCUUAUUAUAAUUAAAUGUGACAUUUGAUUAUUGAGUUGUUUACCAUGUACUAUGUACUGGUAUACUGUGGCACGUACCCGCUGGAAAGUUGUGUAAGAUUUUCUUUAGGGCAUAUGUCAAAAUUAUGGUGUGCAAAAAAGCACGUUAUACAGAAUUGUGUAAGAUACCAAGACAGUAAAUUUUAUAUGAAAGCUUGAGGAAAGUUCAGUCAGUUAAUUUUUAUAUUCUACAACGGCAGACCAACGACGAGAAAUGUCGAAUUUAUAAAAUUUCCAACUUAAAAAAAAUCACAUUGAUCUUCAUUUUCCAUUUUUUUUCCCCCGCACGAAAGGAAAUAAAACUUGUAGAAACUGUGCAGAGCUUAGCGCUUUUGUCAAGAUACUGAGGAGCCUAAAGAAAUAUACGCUCAGAAUAGUCGGCAUCGUGAUCGAAGUGCCAUGCAGAGUUGGCAGUUUGCCAUAAACUACCACAGCAAAAACUAACUUUAAAACAGGGUCUGAAAAGACUCUUUCAUAUUUUAUGUCAGUUGAUAAACUUUUCAACAUCUUCCUUUCCCCUUCUACGGUUGGUUUACAUAGAUCCCAGGGAUAAUUGUCUCAACGGCGAUCAAUACAGAAGUAAGUAUACAUGGACAGAUACUGAAGUGAUACCACUGCCUCGUAAUAUUUUAAUCUAAUUUUCUUCUAAUAAUAGUAUUUUUAAACUGGCCACGAGUGGUUCGUUUGUUUGUUUUGAAAUUAAUGGUCAUACAAAAUGAGUAAUGCAGUUUAUAGUUCACAAUGAUUUCAACUGUAAGCUGUAUUUGUAUCGCUCAACCGUCUUCCCUCGAAAGUAACAAUUUGGAGCAUUUACAAGUAUUUUUUUUAAGUGUUGGUUUGUGUAGCCAGGUGACAUUCGUACUGUUGUUAUUGUUACUGUUGUUGUUGUUGUUCAGUCGUUGAACCCGUCCUCCAAGCAAUAACCGCAAAGGCAAAUUUUUAUUUUUUCAUUGUAUGACUUUCAUUUGUCGUUCUUGGCUUGAAACCCUACUGUUUAUAUAUAUAAUAAAGAGGAGAGAAUAGCACUAUACUAUUUUCCAUUAUGAAUAUGUGCCCAUCAGGAAAUGUUUGAAAGAAAUGUUAUGACAACGCUUCGAUUGCUUUAAUAAUGCAGAACUUUUCAUUUAUUUUAAACACAACUUUUGAAGUUGUAAAAUGGGGCUUGUUAUGCAUCCCUUUUAUGAAUACCUUUGUUUUUACUGCAUCAAGUGUAAGACUACAUAUAUUGUUUUCUGAUGAGACAAAAAGCAUUGUUUAAUUCCUAUGUUGUUUUGUUUAGAAAUCCAGAUUCGCGAGCAACAAUGUACACUAUGUUAAAAAAAACAAAUCUUUUAUAGCAACUUCCUGAUUGCGAUCUUGCAUAUGAAUCCUUCUAUGCAUGUUUAAUGCGAUCCUGGAGAAUUUGCAAUGGCCAGUAAGUGCUUGAUGUGAGAUUGUGGCAAUGUCCUACAUGGGGAAAGAACCAGGACUGGACUGCUACCAUAAACGUUCACAAGCUCCAUUCAGAAAGGGAGAUAACUUGAUACAGAUGGCGCCAGCAUAGACAUCUGCCAGAAUGAGGGUGUCCAGUCACUUAAUCCCCAGACGCUUACUCCCCAGACACUUAAUCCCCGACGCUUCAUCCUUAAAAUGA
Pomacea canaliculata is the source of this 5357-nucleotide long non-coding RNA. RefSeq lists it as uncharacterized. The transcript is spliced from 3 exons. The record is from RefSeq and is a predicted model, not a curated record. NCBI's taxonomy places the organism in Eukaryota, Metazoa, Mollusca, Gastropoda, Architaenioglossa, Ampullariidae.